Hippocampus zosterae (dwarf seahorse) is the source of this 327-nucleotide long non-coding RNA. RefSeq lists it as uncharacterized. The transcript is spliced from 2 exons. NCBI's taxonomy places the organism in Eukaryota, Metazoa, Chordata, Actinopteri, Syngnathiformes, Syngnathidae. The record is from RefSeq and is a predicted model, not a curated record.
AAAAAGUCGGCCAAUCAAUGAAGGGUGGGCGUGUAUAUAUACAUAUAUGGAGAGGGAGAGCGAGAGAAGGCAGACGUGAGAGAGGAAAGGCAUGCGGGGAAGAAGUCCGCCAAUGAGUGAAGGGUGGGCGUGUAAGUGGACGCUAAAGGGACGCUCCAAGCAGGAACCAACACCUGUAUAGAUUGUGGCUAUGUGCAUUGUUGCAAAACAACUUCGGUUUUGGUUUCUAAGAACCCCCGAAAAUAAAUUCUACAAAGAGACACGCCUACAAAGCUCAGUUCAAACUUCAAGCCAUCGAUUAUGCUUUUGGCAUGCGUGCCCAUCUCA